AGUGAACGCUGGCGGUAGGCCUAACACAUGCAAGUCGAACGGCAGCACAGUAAGAGCUUGCUCUUACGGGUGGCGAGUGGCGGACGGGUUAGGAAUACAUCGGAAUCUACUUUUUCGUGGGGGAUAACGUAGGGAAACUUACGCUAAUACCGCAUACUACCUACGGGUGAAAGCAGGGGAUCUUCGUACCUUGCGCGAUUGAAUGAGCCGAUGUCGGAUUAGCUAGUUGGCGGGGUAAAGGCCCACCAAGGCGACGAUCCGUAGCUGGUCUGAGAGGAUGAUCAGCCACACUGGAAAUGAGACACGGUCCAGACUCCUACGGGAGGCAGCAGUGGGGAAUAUUGGACAAGGGGCGCAAGCCUGAUCCAGCCAUACCGCGUGGGGGAAGAAGGCCUUCGGGUUGUAAAGCCCUUUUGUUGGGAAAGAAAAGCAGCAGGUUAAUACCCCGCUGUUCUGACGGUACCCAAAGAAUAAGCACCGGCUAACUUCGUG
RNAcentral lists this ribosomal RNA (492 nucleotides) under uncultured bacterium. RNAcentral describes it as "partial 16S ribosomal RNA". It matches the Rfam family "Bacterial small subunit ribosomal RNA", at positions 29 to 507 of the family's 1533-position model. The record is from RNAcentral.